This is a long non-coding RNA of Austrofundulus limnaeus, 309 nucleotides long. RefSeq lists it as uncharacterized. The transcript has 2 exons. NCBI's taxonomy places the organism in Eukaryota, Metazoa, Chordata, Actinopteri, Cyprinodontiformes, Rivulidae. The record is from RefSeq and is a predicted model, not a curated record.
GGGGGGAGGGGAUCCACGGAGGACAGAGACGGGGAUCCAGACCAGUCAGUCAAGGAUUUUAACUCCAACUGCAUCCUUCAAACCCUCAAGUUUGUCACUGGAGGUUGGGCCGAAGGAAAGAAGAGGGCAGGCAGCUUGGAUUUCUCAUCCUUGCCUGAGAAACUUUACCCUUUUUUGCAUUCCUCUUACUGAAGGAUUUCACUUGCCCCGGCUAACACGGAUCCAGCUAAGAUUACCUGAGUGGUGAAUUUUUAAUGAUUCCCCUGGGAAUUUCAGACGCCAAAAAAAAAAAAAAAAACAAAAAAAGGG